AGAGUUUGAUCCUGGCUCAGGAUGAACGCUAGCGGCAGGCCUAAUACAUGCAAGUCGAACGGUGUCUUCGGACAUAGUGGCGCACGGGUGCGUAACACGUAUGCAACCUACCUUACAUUGGGGGAUAGCCUUUCGAAAGGGAGAUUAAUACCGCAUAAGACAGUAACUUGGCAUCAAGUAGCUGUUAAAGAUUUAUCGAUGUAAGCUGGGCAUGCGACCAAUUAGCUAGUUGGUGAGGUAAUGGCUCACCAAGGCUAUGAUUGGUAGGGGAACUGAGAGGUCAAUCCCCCACACUGGCACUGAGAUACGGGCCAGACUCCUACGGGAGGCAGCAGUAGGGAAUAUUGGGCAAUGGACGCAAGUCUGACCCAGCCAUGCCGCGUGCAGGAUGAAGGCGUUAUGCGUUGUAAACUGCUUUUAUACAGGAAGAAACGACUCUUGCGAGAGGCAUUGACGGUACUGUAUGAAUAAGCACCGGCUAACUCCGUGCCAGCAGCCGCGGUAAUACGGAGGGUGCAAGCGUUGUCCGGAUUUAUUGGGUUUAAAGGGUGCGCAGGUGGUUUAUUAAGUCAGUGGUGAAAGACGGUCGCUCAACGAUUGCAGUGCCAUUGAAACUGGUAGACUUGAGUAAAGUAGAGGUGGGCGGAAUUGAUAGUGUAGCGGUGAAAUGCAUAGAUAUUAUCAAGAACUCCAAUUGCGUAGGCAGCUCACUUGGCUUUUACUGACACUCAUGCACGAAAGUGUGGGUAUCAAACAGGAUUAGAUACCCUGGUAGUCCACACUGUAAACGAUGAUAACUAGGUGUCGGCCGAAUCUGGUCGGUGCCACAGCGAAAGCGUUAAGUUAUCCACCUGGGGAGUACGCCGGCAACGGUGAAACUCAAAUGAAUUGACGGGGACCCGCACAAGCGGUGGAGCAUGUGGUUUAAUUCGAAGAUACGCGCAGAACCUUACCAACCCUUGACAUGUCUGUCGCGAGUUUAGGAAACUAGACUUUUCGGUUCGGCCGGACAGAACACAGGUGCUGCAUGGCUGUCGUCAGCUCGUGUCGUGAGAUGUUGGGUUAAGUCCCGCAACGAGCGCAACCCCUACUUUUAGUUGCCAUCAGGUCAUGCUGGGCACUCUGAAAGAACUGCCAGUGAUAAGCUGGAGGAAGGUGGGGAUGACGUCAAGUCCUCAUGGCCCUUACGGGUUGGGCUACACACGUGCUACAAUGGUAGUGACAAUGAGAUGCAAAGUGGCGACGCUAAGCUAAACUCAAAAAUCUACCUCAGUUCGGAUUGCACUCUGCAACUCGAGUGCAUGAAGUUGGAAUCGCUAGUAAUCGUAGAUCAGCGUGCUACGGUGAAUACGUUCCCGGGUCUUGUACACACCGCCCGUCACACCAUGGAAGUUGGUUCUACCUUAAAGCAGAUUGCUAACCGCAAGGAGGCGUUUGACCAAGGUAUAGUCAGCAACUGGGGUGAAGUCGUAACAAGGUA
Molecule: ribosomal RNA, 1480 nt
Filed under: uncultured Flectobacillus sp.
Lineage: Bacteria; Pseudomonadati; Bacteroidota; Cytophagia; Cytophagales; Flectobacillaceae
Description: partial 16S ribosomal RNA
Rfam family: Bacterial small subunit ribosomal RNA
Source: RNAcentral